UGGGUCGGCUGGAUGGUCGCGUCGCGCACGGCUUGCCGUGUCGCGCCGAGGAACGUCCGGGCUCCACAGGGCAGGGCGGUGGUCAACAGCCACCCGGAGUGAUCCGCGAGACAGUGCCACAGAGAGCAGACCGCCGGCGCAAGCCGGUAAGGGUGAAAGGGCGGUGUAAGAGACCACCGGGGUCGCGGCGACGCGACUCGCACGGCAAACCUCGCCCGGAGCAAGGUCAGACAGGGGAUGAUGACGCGGCCCGCCGAGUCCCCGGGUAGACCGCUGGAGCGGCACGGCAACGUGUCGCCGAGAGAGAUGACCAUCCACGGGGCUUCGGCCCCCGGACAGAACCCGGCGUACAGGCCGGCCCAUUCG
This 366-nucleotide RNase P RNA is filed under the name Microbacterium protaetiae. RNAcentral describes it as "Bacterial RNase P class A". It matches the Rfam family "Bacterial RNase P class A". Rfam says of the family: Ribonuclease P (RNase P) is a ubiquitous endoribonuclease, found in archaea, bacteria and eukarya as well as chloroplasts and mitochondria. Lineage: Bacteria; Bacillati; Actinomycetota; Actinomycetes; Micrococcales; Microbacteriaceae. The record is from Rfam by way of RNAcentral.